GCAGGUGUAGUUCAAUGGUAGAACAUUAGCCUUCCAAGCUAAUUACGCGGGUUCGAUUCCCGUCACCUGCUCCA
RNAcentral lists this transfer RNA (74 nucleotides) under Coprobacillus sp. CAG:826. RNAcentral's name for it is "transfer RNA-Gly(TCC)". It matches the Rfam family "tRNA". From Rfam's summary of the family: Transfer RNA (tRNA) molecules are approximately 80 nucleotides in length. Their secondary structure includes four short double-helical elements and three loops (D, anti-codon, and T loops). Lineage: Bacteria; Bacillati; Bacillota; Erysipelotrichia; Erysipelotrichales; Coprobacillaceae. RNAcentral also lists the same sequence under 1 other name. The record is from RNAcentral.